Gallus gallus (chicken) is the source of this 2950-nucleotide long non-coding RNA. RefSeq lists it as uncharacterized. Lineage: Eukaryota; Metazoa; Chordata; Aves; Galliformes; Phasianidae. The transcript is spliced from 3 exons. The record is from RefSeq and is a predicted model, not a curated record.
ACUUACAGGAGAGGAUGUGAUGUCAUCAGGACCCUCUUCUGUGAAGAGCCAUUGUUCAGCCUCUGAGGUGGAAUAGCGUGAGAAAAGAUUUCAAAAGAACUUCAGUUGUGACCCAAAUCUUGGUCUCGUUUAUCCUGAUAGUGUUGUUUUUAAUGGUGCCUCUUGGAUUUUGCUGCGAUGUCUUCAGCUGAGAUUCAGACUGGCAACGUUCUUCUUGAAGUCAGAUGAAUCGCUGCAGACUGCUAUCUGACAGUCAUUUGGGCUGCUCUCAUCAUGUUCAGAUCUGCAGAUGAAGAAGUCAAGUCCUGUGUCAUGGGCAUGGAGCACAACUUGUAUAUAUUGGCAGAUAUUUAAUUUUAUGUAGUAUUGAAUUCUUUUUGCAGCUUAAAGAAGACCUGGGAAUGUUUUACAGCAUCUCUCCACCUGCGCUUAUAAUCUCUGAGCCCAUGCAUUGCUGAUACCUAUCUGAGUACUUCAGCUCUGUUGUUCUCUGUAAUUGUUCUUUGUUAUUUCUCUGCAGAAGCCGCUGUGUGCAAGGCAGGAGUUCUGUGAUGUGACACCCACCAAGACAGCCCUGUGCCCCAGUUGCAUGCAGAUCUGACAAACAAAAAGUUACCCUGUGUUUUUUUUUCUUCUCCAACCACAGGGACUUCCGCCAUGCCAAAAAACCUCUCCAUACAUGCUUCAACAUUCAGAGGCCAGCCUACCAUCUCUAGGUGACCACACACACCCUGUGUGGGAGGUGUUGUUCCAUUACUCCUUUGGAAAGCAUGCCCCUGUUCCUGGCUGUGAGAAACCUGGCACUGCUGAGUGAUGAAACUGCAGUGUUAUGUGAAAAUGAGCUGGAAAAUGAAGAAUGGAACAAGGCAGCGAGUUGGGUCAAGCAGCGUCACCACAGCAGCAAGCAUACCUAGGUUGUGAGAUGAGAUAAGGGAUCCCUUGGACUUCAGCCUGCUUUCAUAUGGCACUUGGUUCUCUAUUCCAGGCAUGCCCAACUCACAGGCCGCACGCUGCCCAGCCCGUCCUGCUGCUGCCUCCUGCCCCGCACCAUCAUGGCAGCAGCUCUGGCGGUGGCUGAGCGGCCUGGCCCUGUACGUGUAUCCAUCACUGACGCAGCCACACAGUGGCGUGCGAUUGGCACUGCAUCAGCUCAAGCAGGACAUGGGCAGGGCACAGUGCUGUGCUAUCUCCACCUCUGGCACUCACCACACACUCAGUCCCAUCAAAACCUGGGUGUGUUACCCAUGUGUGCCACUGGGUGACUGAGACGCACUAAUUACCCCUAGUAACCUUUCAGCCUUCCUAAUGUCUUCUCAAGAGAUAACAGAAGCCUCAAACGAACGAAAAUUGUGGUUGAAGGAGAAGUGUUCAGUGAAAAAUGGACAGAUGGGUACUGUUUUGUUGAGGUAAAACUGCGUUACUGCUGUUGAGUUACACCCCGGAUGGGCUUGGUGAUAAAGGCCAGUGAUGUGGUGGCAAAUCUGAUGGCAGAAGCAGCAAAGCCGUCUGCUGGUGGUGAGUUUAUUGAGCAACGCACAGACAGCAUCAGAGAUGCAAUGUGCCCUGAUUAAAACAGGGUCUUUUCUCAAAUCAGUUGGUGUCACUCAACCAUUGCCAGGUGGUCUGAAGAAAUGGACAAAUCUGUGGCAAGAAAGUUGGAGAGGAAAGCUGCUAAUUUCAGAAGUUAUCCUUUGGCGACAGAUGAAAUGACUGACGCUACAGAUAUGACUCAACUUCCUUUUUCAUGGAAGGUAUUGAUAAGAAGUAUCAUGUCACUGAAGAAAUGGCUUCCUUGGUACCCUCAAAAGGCAGAAAGAAAUCUUUUGAUGUGGAUGAAGCAGUGGAAAUGGCAUUGAAGUGAUUUUAUUUAAGCUUUGUUGAUGCUUCUGGUAGAGCUACUGAUGGCGCCCAGGCAGUGGUUGUUCAAAAGGGGGGGGCUUAUAGAAUGCAUAGAAGAGAAUGGAAUUGCUUCCAGGAACUCAGGUCUGAUGAAACAUCUGUGCAUGGUACAUCAGGGCAAUAUAAGCAGAAAAGCUUUAAAGAUGGGUACUGUCACGUCAGUUGUCAUGGAAGGUGUGAAUUUCAUGAAGCCCAGGGGACUGAACCAUCACCACUUCCAGGCAUUCCUGACACGUACGGAUGCUGAUUAUGGAGACAUUGUUUAUUUUUAUAAAGUAAGGUGUGUAAGUGAUGGUAAAACGCGAGGCAGUUUUAGGAUUUGCAAAAUGAAAUCAUUUCUGGGAUCAAAAGGAACAUUUGUAUCAGAACGCGAGGCUGAGAGCGCAUCACAGAUUUAAUGCUUCUGGUGGACAUGGCCUCUCAUUUAAGAAGAAAGGGGAGAGAGGAAAGAGGAAAGGCCCAGCAGCAGGAGACAUCUGCCUGCAUCCUGAAAUGCCUGUAGUCAGCACAGACUUUAAUUUGGCCUCUUCUGAUCAAAGCAGCACUGCUGGCAGAGCCCCUGCAUCCCCACAGCUGGGUUACCUGGAUCCAGGCCCUGUUGUGAGUUGCCCUUUGUGGUGUCCUGGCUGCUCCGUGUGAUGGCAGUGGGUGUGAUGUGUUCUGCUGUUGUUGUGAGUGGAGGGAAAAAUAGAUGAAGGCAGGGAGAUACAACAAAACAGCCUUCUUCCACUCCUGCCAGGACAUAGACAAACCUGUGGCCAGCAUAGGGGAGACUCCAUAGGGCCCAUUUUCAACUGUGAUGCCCUGACACUCUGAUAUGAGAUCAGCUUGCACAGCUGAGCUGCCCAGCCAUGAAACCUGAGGGCUGUGGGCUCAGAAUUUCUACCCAGCAUCCUCAGAAAUUCUGUGCUCAUUAGGUGGUUUCACCCCUCAGUGACACCUCUCGGAGAAAGAUGGAAAUUAUCUCCUGUCCUCACAUCCCUAAAUGCCUGCAGUCAGCACAGCCUUUAAUUCAUGCUGUUCCAGGUGGAGCAGCACUGCUGGCAGAGCC